This 460-nucleotide ribosomal RNA is filed under the name uncultured bacterium. Its description in RNAcentral is "partial 16S ribosomal RNA". It matches the Rfam family "Bacterial small subunit ribosomal RNA", at positions 338 to 795 of the family's 1533-position model. The record is from RNAcentral.
CCUACGGGUGGCAGCAGUGAGGAAUAUUGGUCAAUGGACGAGAGUCUGAACCAGCCAAGUAGCGUGAAGGAUGACUGCCCUAUGGGUUGUAAACUUCUUUUAUAUGGGAAUAAAAUGUUCCACGUGUGGGAUUUUGUAUGUACCAUAUGAAUAAGGAUCGGCUAACCUCGUGCCAGCAGCCGCGGUAAUACGGAGGAUCCGAGCGUUAUGCGGUAUUAUUUGGUUUAAAGGGAGCGUAGGUGGAUUGGUAAGUCAGUUGUGAAAGUUUGCGGCUCAACCGUAAAAUUGCAGUUGAAACUGGCAGUCUUGAGUACAGUAGAGGUAGGCGGAAUUCGUGGUGUAGCGGUGAAAUGCUUAGAUAUCACGAAGAACUCCGAUUGCGAAGGCAGCUUACUGGACUGCAACUGACGCUGAGGCACGAAAGUGUGGGUAUCAAACAGGAUUAGAUACCCUAGUAGUC